GCCCCUCGGCCUGGGAAACGGGGCGUGGCCAGAAAGGGGGCCGCCCCCUCGCCC
RNAcentral lists this ribosomal RNA (54 nucleotides) under Ailuropoda melanoleuca (giant panda). RNAcentral describes it as "similar to 28S ribosomal RNA". The record is from RNAcentral. Lineage: Eukaryota; Metazoa; Chordata; Mammalia; Carnivora; Ursidae.